GAAUGACUGCUGUGAUGGAAUUUCAGGAAUCAGGGCAGGCCAGUGCAGAUGACAUUUCAGAGCAACCGAGGUUUCCUAACACCCUUCAAUGUAUAGGGCAUUGGAGAAGGUGAAAGUGCUUGAGGAACAGCUCUGUAGAUUCCACACUGCAAGAAGGAUGUGUUGAACAACACAGAAAGUAACCAGAUAAAAAACAAGAAGGAGAAGGGAACUCUGUGUCAACAAUGAUGACUCUGGAAGAGAAAGUGGAUAAUAGCUGAUUACAUAGAAGGCAUCCAAAGGAAGAAUUUGUCUUUGGGAUCAUGACAGGAAUGUCAAGAAGAUAUACUAUUGAAAAUGAAAAAGGGCACUGGAUCAAAGUGGAGAAGAUAUUUAACAAGGAUAAAUGGAUGCAGCAGAGGGAGAAAAAUUAAGACCAACUACCAAGUGCACUGUUGUGAAGUUGUAAUGCACUGUGGAAGGAAGAAUUCCCAGGGGAAUUCUGAGAAGUCACUCUUAAAGUCAGG
Molecule: long non-coding RNA, 506 nt
Organism: Myotis myotis
Lineage: Eukaryota; Metazoa; Chordata; Mammalia; Chiroptera; Vespertilionidae
Exons: 4
Source: RefSeq, a predicted model, not a curated record